This is a non-coding RNA of Ixodes scapularis (black-legged tick), 83 nucleotides long. Lineage: Eukaryota; Metazoa; Arthropoda; Arachnida; Ixodida; Ixodidae. The record is from Rfam.
GCAGUCGUGGAAGAGUGGUUAAGGCGAUGGACUAGGAAAUCCAUUGGGGUCUCCCCGCAUAGGUUCGAAUCCUGUCGACUGCG